UCUCUUGCAGUGCUGAAAACAACAUAUUCUCCACUCUAACGGAUCCAGAGUCCCAGUGCAAGUGAUGAUAUAAGGAAGACGUGUCCAGUGCUUAGAGGAGGACAGCCAACCAGCAAAAACACAACAAUGUAGAAGUAGCUAAAUCCCAAACAACCAUUUGUUCAUCAAAAGAUAAAUACUAUCAUCUCUACCUCCAGCACCAAGAAAGCAUCAAUCCAUGGACUGGCUCCUCUCAGGAGAAUUUAGUGUCUCAAGUGUGAAGUCUUUUCACUGGAACUUGAGAUGAAGGAGAAGAGAGAAUUCUAAAGGUUCCGCAUCAUCCACCUACCCUGACCAUCCCCCCUAAUCUGGACCUACCCUUGACUAACAGUCACAUGGUGUAGGGAGUAGAGUGCAGAAAGCAGAGGAUGUGCUGGUUCAUUUUCCUGAGCCACUUACUAACCACCUGACAGAAGGAAAAAAGUAGAAAAAAGAAGAAAUGAAAAAGAUAAAAGAGAGCUGGGAGUGAGGCAGGCAGCUACAUUUGAAAGCAAUCUGAAGCCACUCAGAGGUGGAGGAAAGAGAUUUAAAUUGCCGCAAGAAUUUGAAGGCCACCUCCCACACAGCCCAUCAGUCCUUCAGGGACUGUUCUUCAAGACCUACUCAAAGACAUUCUGUCCUAUGACCAGCUUUAGAGUAAUGGGGAAAAGAAUUAUGACAGUCACAUCAUAUGAUGAAAUACCAAGUAGCAUUUCAAAGGUCACACUUCAGAAAGUCUGUUAAUGAUAUGGAAAAUGAUUAAGCACAAAUUAUGUAAUUUAAAAAAUAAAGCAGUUGAGAUCUUAAUUUUGUAAAUAUAUAUAUAUAAUAAAAACAUACAGAAGCAAUGAGAAAAGACUGAGCAGAGAUAUAUGAAUAAGUUACCAGUAAUAUAUUAUUAUAAGUCGUUUUAAUUUUCUUUUAAAUAUAUAUGCAUUUUUAUACAC
Symphalangus syndactylus (siamang) is the source of this 965-nucleotide long non-coding RNA. RefSeq lists it as uncharacterized. Lineage: Eukaryota; Metazoa; Chordata; Mammalia; Primates; Hylobatidae. The record is from RefSeq and is a predicted model, not a curated record.